This 305-nucleotide ribosomal RNA is filed under the name uncultured bacterium. Its description in RNAcentral is "bacterial SSU rRNA". It matches the Rfam family "Bacterial small subunit ribosomal RNA", at positions 333 to 652 of the family's 1533-position model. The record is from RNAcentral.
UCAUACCUACGGGGGGCAGCAGUGGGGAAUAUUGGGCAAUGGGCGCAAGCCUGACCCAGCAACGCCGCGUGAAGGAAGAAGGCUUUCGGGUUGGAAACUUCUUUUCUCAGGGACGAAGCAAGUGACGGUACCUGAGGAAUAAGCCACGGCUAACUACGUGCCAGCAGCCGCGGUAAUACGUAGGUGGCAAGCGUUAUCCGGAUUUACUGGGUGUAAAGGGCGUGUAGGCGGGAAAGCAAGUCAGAUGUGAAAACCACGGGCUCAACCAGUGGCCUGCAUUUGAAACUGUUUUUCUUGAGUACUGG